RNAcentral lists this long non-coding RNA (3782 nucleotides) under Macaca mulatta (Rhesus monkey). Its description in RNAcentral is "lncRNA (ENSMMUG00000061979.1)". Lineage: Eukaryota; Metazoa; Chordata; Mammalia; Primates; Cercopithecidae. The record is from RNAcentral.
AUGCAUCCAGACGUGGCAGCCAGGGUAUCAUCUGGUGUGGACACAGUGGCCCAGGAAGGGAGGCAGACUGGGGAUGUGGAUCUCUCGUGGAAACCACCUAAUUCGAGCAAAAGGUCUGCGGUUAAAUCCGGGGGAAAGGGAGGUGGUCACAGAGGCAAGAGACACAGUCAGUGUCUCUGUCUGUCUCUCUUUCUCUCUCCCCCCACUCCCCCUUCCCCCUCCCUCUCUCUCUCUCUCCCCCCUCCCCCUCCCCCCUCUCUCCCUCCCUCCCUCCCUCCCUCCCUCUCUCUCUCUCUCCCCCCCUCCCCCUCCCUCCCUCCCUCCCUCUCUCCUCUCUCUCCUCUCUCUCCUUUCUCUCCUUUCUCUCCCCCCUCUCUCCCCUCUCUCCCCUCUCCCCCUCCUCCCCUCUCUUCCCUCUCUCCCCUCUCUCCCCUCUCUCCCUCCUCUCUCCCUUCCUCUCUCCCUCCCUCUCUCUCUCCCCCCUCCCCCUCCCUCCCUCCCUUUCUCCUCUCUCUCCUUUCUCUCCUUUCUCUCCUUUCUCUCCUUUCUCCCCUCUCUCCCCUCUCUCCCCUCUCUCCCCUCUCUCCCCUCCCCCCUCCCCCCUCUCUCCCCUCUCUCCCCUCUCUCCCCUCUCUCCCCUCUCUCCCUCCCUCUCUCUCUCCUGUCUCUGCUCUCUCUUCCCUCCUAGCUCGUGCUUCUGUAUCCCUGAGCCUGCUGCCAUUGCCAGUUGCUAUCAGAACAUCUGCAAAGCUGAGUCCGUCCUCCCCAAAGGCCACAUCUGCACCAGGGUUCCCACCUUGCAGACAGGAGGAGGUGGCUGAGGCCCAGCCAGCGCCCCCCACAGCCUCGCAGCAGAUGGCUAAAGAGGAAGCCUGGCUCAGCUACACCUUGGGCCCACCAAGAAGGGACCACGCUCAAUGGUAGAAUGACACAUGGGUGCUCUAACGGAUUCUAGUUUUGUGAAGAUGAACAAGCUCUAAGCAGGAGGACUUACGGGAGGUCAGCGGCUGGUGGCCCCGGCAGAGCUAUCAUGGACCUGUUCCAUGAAGAAAGAGACACAGAUCUCUCUGUGGAAAGGUGCAGGCUCUGCUGCAGGAGGAAAAUGGCAACAAGAAGCCCAGCAGGUGAGUUGAUGGGACUCUGUGCAGCCAUCUCGCGUGGCCACCAUGAAGUAUGGACCAGCCCAGGGGAGGGUUUAGUUGAUGGGACUCUGUGUAGCCCUCAUGUGUGGCCACCGUGAAGUAUGGACCAGCCUAGGGGAGGGUUUCAGGUCCGGAGAUCUUAGUUGAGAGCAUCACUGCUCCAGAAAUGACCACAGACAGUGUCAUUCUGAACUCACCGAGGUAUCUGUGGACCCCCGGCGCCAUAGACGUGCUGGAAAAUGGGUUCUGGAGCCCAGGUGGACACCGUUUUCAUCUCAGAUCUUUGGUCCUCAGCACCUGUCCACUCCGACGUAGACGUAUCAGCUCCCUGCAUCUUACUGAGACACAGGAGCCAGAAGGGCCCUGAGGUUUUCAUCACAGUGCUCGCCCCAAGUGCCUCCCAGCUUUGUGUGAGAUGUGGAGGCAUGUGGCUUCAGGAGGUGGGAAAUGGAACAGACAUGCUGCAGAGUCUGACGGGGCGCUGAGCUCCUUCACUGCUCUGCGGAGACAGGCUCGGGCCUCAUCUGUUAUUGGCCAAGGGAAGCAAGGAACCAGGGGAGGUGUGAGGCGUGCACCAGAGGCACCCCUUGAGUUAGGGACGAAAGCCUGGCAGAGCCUGGAGCUAUGGCAUGUUUAAUCUUGGUGCAUGGGUGUCCGCAGGAGCAGAGGGCCCCUCCCAGAGUCAGAUCUGUGGUCUGUCCCGGGCGUCCUCCUGGGCAUCCUGGAGACUCACAACUCCCGGCCAUGGCUGUGGUCUUCUCCCUCUGUCCUUGGGUCCCCCUGCAGUUGCAGACUGGAUUAACCUUGAGGAUGGACAGUGGUGGCCUGGCUGCUGAUUGACAGCCAGGACAGAGCAAAUAUUGACUCCUCACCUCAGGAAAGGGGCCGACGUUCCUUCCGCAGGCACACGCUGACCUUGCUUCCGUGGGAAUCGAUAGAAACCUCUCGAGUCAAUAAAUCUUAAUGUUCCUUUCAACAGAAAUCCAUGCACCUCACUGUUGUUACUUGCCUGGAAUGCCGGGCGGGAGCAGGCCCGGGGUCUGCGCCAGUGAUCAGAGGGUGGUUUAGCCUCAAAGCUUCAUCAGACCCUCCUGACUGAGACGACUAAAGACCCCUCCCCUCGGAGGGUGCUGACAGCACCCCCCAACUGUUCACAGCCCACUGGGCCCAUCCCUAAACCACCUCCUGCCUACAGGAACAGUAUGGGGAGAGAACAAUGGAAAAGCCACGUGCUGUCACCUGCCUGGGACAGAAUCCCUCUUGUCUGCCAGGCAGGUGACUUGACCCAUCCUUUGAGGGAACUUUGAGGAGUAAGACAAACCCUCACUGUGGAAGGCCAGAGGGUCCCCUGUCCUACCUGGAAUGAUCCCCCAGCUCCAUCUGCAGAGCCUCCCCUAGCACAGCCCAGAAGCUGAGAACCAGAGCCCCCAGGAUACAGCGGGAGGGAUACAGACCACUCGGGGGGUUCUGGGACUCGGAACAGCCUGUCUGGAAUUCGAGCAUCGCUAAGAAGGAAGUUGAGGAGCCCUGGAGUUCCUGGAGUGUGGGUCUGUGGUCCUUAAACACAUCCCUUAUAUUUAAAAAUAGCCCUUCCUCUCCCAGCAGCUCUAGAUCCUGCUGGCCAGCCGCGUUGUCAGAUGAGUUCACUGAAAGCAGAGGUCGUCUUCCCAGCCAUGCACCUCUGAAGCCCAAGGAGUUUCCAUGACUUUAACCAGAGACUUGUGCAGCCAGAACUCCUCUAGCGCUGACACGGUUGGGUUUCGUGUCUCAUCCAAAUCUCAUCUUGAAUUAUAAUCUCCGUAAUCUCCAUGUGUCAAGGGAGAGACCAGGUAGAGGGAACUGAAUGGUGGGGGUGGUUUCCCCAUGCUGUUCUCCUGACAGUGAGUGAGUCCUCAUGAGAUCUGAUGGUUUUAUAAGGGGCUCUUCCCCCUUCACUUAGCACUUCUCCUUCCUACUGCCUUGUGAAGAAGGUGCCUUGCUUCCCCUUCACCUUCCACCAUGACUGUAAGUUUCAUGAGGCCUCCCCAGAGCUCUGAGUCAAUUAAACCUCUUUCCUUUAUAAAUUAUUCAGUCUGGGCAGUUCUUUAUAGUUGUAUGAAAAGGGACUAACACAAAUGCCAAAGGGAGGUGAGGCUCAUGGGUUUGGGUCUCAUCAAGCCCUCAUGUUCCCACCACUGCUGUGUGAACAUGGAGGAGUUUGUCUUCCAGCUUAAGCUGGGCCUAUGGGGAUGGUCAUGGGGCCCACAUAACCCAGGACCUGGAUCCGCUCUGAAAGAAAGGGAACAAGUUGUUAAGAAUGACCCUGUCCAACUGUUAACUAGCCAGCACAGACAUAUGACACAGCCCACUAUCGAGGAACGUGGACAGCUUCCCACUGGGACCAUAUCCCAGUCACCCCACUGUGCUGGCCUCUCCUCCCCUGAUAGCACACGGCCCCUCUGGACAACAAGAAGAUAGAGGUGGCUUAAGCCUGGCCAGCUGGACCCCUUCCCAGAGAGUGAGGCUCCCUGGCCUCUCCCUGGCCAGAGAUUGGAAAGCAUGAAUAUGGUCUCAUGGAGAAAAGCAGGUGCAGUGGAGAAAAAUAAAUCCCUGAACAGAGACACAGAAAUGAGAGUGCAUGGAGGGAGGGACACAGAGGCC